Long non-coding RNA from Brienomyrus brachyistius, 2974 nucleotides. RefSeq lists it as uncharacterized. The transcript has 9 exons. NCBI's taxonomy places the organism in Eukaryota, Metazoa, Chordata, Actinopteri, Osteoglossiformes, Mormyridae. The record is from RefSeq and is a predicted model, not a curated record.
AGUUGACAUGUUCAAUGACUUACUAGUGUCAUACUUGGUUUAUGCCAGAUCUGCUCAGUGUCUGUGCAGCUGUGCACCAGGGGCACAGCAGGAAUGUUUAGCUGCGAAUAAUGGGCAGUCUGAUGAAGUGCAACCAAAUGAUUGCAUGAGGCACGGCCCGCUACACAGGGACAAUGGGUGCUCACCAAAACAACAGGUUUUGAGUGAUUUAACACCAUAUACGGAGAAAAAAGCUUGGAUGAGAUAUUGCUUGACAGCUAAUGCAUAAAUAAGAACAAUUAUGCUGAAUUCUAUAUGAGGCUACACUCAAAAAAAUUAAACAUGACAUUUGUUGGUCCAAAGAAUGUAAUUAUGUUUAAAUUAAUUAAUUUUCGUUUGUGCAUUAAAAUUAAAAGAGUUGUGUUGACAGAAUUAAAAGAAGUAAUUUUUCAAAUUUACACAGCUCAGAUAAUUAAAAGGAAUGAAACGGAGUUGUGUUGCUUCUGCAGUACCGCAUAUUGAUCAGUAGGUGGAGUAAAAUCUACACAUACGCAGUUGGAAAACACCACAAGAAACGAAUCACAACGGUACUCUUCGGCUCGUUUAAAUCUGCGCCAUUUUAUGAGAAUCGAAGACGCAAAACAACAAGGCGUUUUCCUCUAUGUAAACAGAGCAGUUUUAUGCAAAACAGAAGACGGGAAGACAUACGGAUUUGAAAAAAUCUUGCAACCUCUUUUGCAGGAUCUCCAAACUUUGGAACAGCAAGCUUCUCGUGCAAAUUCUCAGACCACUGAAGUGAAGGGAGGUGAAUUCAAACUUCGGACUGCAGAAGAGCACCAAGGACACGUGAAACUUGCUACAGAGAAAGAGAAGAAAGAAACUCAUAAAUGUUUGGAACCACUUAAGGACAAGUUUGACACAAUGGCAACCUCAGCCAAACUCAGCCAAGUAAUCUUAGGAGAAAAUAACUAUGAAAGGUUAAAUCUCCCAGCUGGUAUAGCAGACUCAUUGAAUGACCUUAAAAAAGAAAUCCAAACACAACUUGGUGUGUUAGAAGAUUUUCGAUUUCAGCUCAAAGAUCUGGAUUUUAAUGAAUUUGUCAACCUCAGUUCAACUUCGGACUUACAAGACAGAGCUACACUCAAAAUAAUUUUUUUGCCGACAUCUACAAGUACCUCUUCUUCAUCUGUGCCAAAACAAAGUGAGACCUCUUCAGUAUCUUCCUAUGAUACAGACAUAAUAUCCUCACCAUCAUCUGUACUGUCGACAGAAUCUGCAUCCUCUGUCAGAAGGCAAGCUUGGCCCAAUACUUUCCCAAUACCACAGUUUAGUUUUGAUGCAGAAAUACAACUGCAAAAAGCUCAACUUGCUUAUCAAACUGAUGAUACUGUCCUGAGUCCCAAUUCCUAGCUAAAAGUCUGACAUUUUGGAUUCUUUAGUGUCAGAAAUAAUAAAGUUCAAGGCAUACCCUUCAGCUGCAGAUCUUGAUGAUGUAGCCGCUGCGUUGAUACAGAAGCAUCCACGUCUAAAAGAAAAGGGCUCUGUGAGUGGCUACUAUGGCUGGAAAAUUAGUUUAAAAUAUAAGAUGGCAAACUACAGAACAAAAUUGGGAAACAGGAUGUUCUGAGCUGAACAUCAAUUCCCAUAAGCGAAAAGGAUCCACUGGAAGUCCUAACCAAGAAGAAACCGAGAAAAGCUGAGGUAAAUUACUGUCCAGAUUAGCCAAUGGGUGAAACAAAAGAAACACUUGAAAAUCAAAGGAUUACACUAUUAUUGGAGGUGACUAAAAGAAACAACGAGCAGGUUAUCAAGGGGCUGAUGGACAGAACGUUUGCUCUACGGAGGCACGAGGUGGUAGAAGAUUCACCUUUCAUUGCGGAAUUCAAGAACAGUUGGCCAGCACUCUUUACUGAGCGAGAGGUAUCUGCGGAAUUCAGCAGGAUUAUAAUUCCUUUGGUGUCCAAAUUCAUGGGUCAGCUUGAUCAUCUCUCCCCCCAGCUCCUCAAAAAUUUCAAAAAGAAAGGAGGAGCAGCCACAAAGAAGAUCAGACAUCCUGUCAGUUUUGCAUCAGGUCGGCCGACAGGAACAGGCAGACAAGGCGAAUUCAAGGCAAACACGGGGUUUAUUUGGGAGAUCCGGGACAGGGAACAUAGGACGGCUACUGACAUCAAUGACGGACACCGCUAACAGAGCAUCAUCAUUGAAAAAAAGUAUGAAUGCAUCCUGAAAGCCUUAGUGGUCUACCUAAAUGAAGAUCCUUCAAACCUUGUGAAGGAGUCCAUGGACGCUGAACAUGAUGAAACCCAAAUUUUGAUGAGCAACACCACUCUCGGUGUCAUGCCCGGCUCGUCGGCUCCUCGUGUGUGCCACGCCCCCUGAUUAUCCACGUGUGCUUCCCUGAUCGUCUCCAGCUUUGUCCACUUACUUUGAUUAGUCCUGUCCUGUUUUAAGUCCUGGUCUUACCUGUUUGCCCUGUCCGUCAUUGAUGUUUGUCAAUGCCUGUGUUCCGUCCCGCUCUACCCGCUCCGUUUCCCCGAUUAAAGACCCGUUUUCCCCGUAUCCUGCUUGCCUGCCUGCUCCUUGCUCGCUCGCCUGCCCGACGAUCGCCCGCUUUGUCCGCGAUCGUGACACUCGGAAUCUAUGCCAUCAAACAUGAAGGGGCAGAUGUUGCAGACCCAUACGAAGAUGUUGGUGUCAUCAUCGAAGGCAUCCAAGUACUUAAAAACUUGGACAAUGUAGCUAAUGCAUGUUCCAUCAUGGUUGGUCUAAUUUAUGCAGUAAACUUAGCUUACCCGCAGGAUCUGAGAUAUAGUUUUGAAUUGUUUCAAAAGAUUUUUAUGCAACUCGAUGCCAACAAGCUGUCAAACAAAGUCCAGGUCUUAAAAAAUAAACUCCUAUCAUAGGCACUGUAACUUGAAACAAGGGCUAAGAGGCAGGACCUAUGUUUUGUCCAUAAUGUUGCACUGGCUGUUGCAGUAAUUUUUUCAGUGCUAAC